Molecule: non-coding RNA, 24 nt
Filed under: Gallus gallus (chicken)
Lineage: Eukaryota; Metazoa; Chordata; Aves; Galliformes; Phasianidae
Also listed under: 7 other names
Source: RNAcentral
CGGGGUUUCGUACGUAGCAGAGCA